AUGUGCUCUUUGGUGCAGCGCUCACUGAACACAUUGAUAUGUAAGUCAAUUCUAACAAAUAACUCUUUGCUUUUUCGUGGUGGCGCAAAUACAUCAGAUUUAUCAUCACCUAGAACCGAACAUUGGAUUCUUUUUGCCUUCAUGUCAACACUACCGCAAAUGACGAUGAUACUGCAUAGUUAUCCAGUUAGUUUUGUGAGAACUAAUAUGAUAACUACUGGAACUAAUAGGAUAAACUAUAGUAGUACUGUUGCAUUGGAAUACAUGAUUCUCUGGUUGGUACUAGGCAUGAUGCUUGCAUUCAAUAUCUAG
Molecule: ribosomal RNA, 312 nt
Filed under: Triticum aestivum (bread wheat)
Lineage: Eukaryota; Viridiplantae; Streptophyta; Magnoliopsida; Poales; Poaceae
Description: partial small subunit ribosomal RNA
Source: RNAcentral